CAGUCGCCGCGGGAAUACGAAGGGUGCAAGCGUUACUCGGAAUUACUGGGCGUAAAGCGUGCGUAGGCGGUUUGUUAAGUCUGUUGUGAAAUCCCCGGGCUCAACCUGGGAAUGGCAAUGGAUACUGGCAAGCUAGAGUGUGUCAGAGGAUGGUGGAAUUCCCGGUGUAGCGGUGAAAUGCGUAGAGAUCGGGAGGAACAUCAGUGGCGAAGGCGGCCAUCUGGGACAACACUGACGCUGGAGCACGAAAGCGUGGGGAGCAGACAGGAUUAGAUACCCGCGUAGUCCCUGUCUCUUAUAC
This 301-nucleotide ribosomal RNA is filed under the name uncultured bacterium. Its description in RNAcentral is "partial 16S ribosomal RNA". It matches the Rfam family "Bacterial small subunit ribosomal RNA", at positions 509 to 807 of the family's 1533-position model. The record is from RNAcentral.